UACGUAGGGAGCAAGCGUUGUUCGGAUUUACUGGGCGUAAAGGGCGCGUAGGCGGCAAAUUAAGUCAUCUGUGAAAUCUCUGAGCUUAACUCAGAACGGUCAGGUGAUACUGAUCUGCUAGAGUGCGGAAGGGGCAAUCGGAAUUCUUGGUGUAGCGGUGAAAUGCGUAGAUAUCAAGAGGAACACCUGAGGUGAAGACGGGUUGCUGGGCCGACACUGACGCUGACAGCGCGAAAGCCAGGGGAGCAAACGGG
Molecule: ribosomal RNA, 254 nt
Filed under: uncultured microorganism
Description: partial small subunit ribosomal RNA
Rfam family: Bacterial small subunit ribosomal RNA
Source: RNAcentral